Molecule: ribosomal RNA, 443 nt
Filed under: uncultured bacterium
Lineage: Bacteria
Description: bacterial SSU rRNA
Rfam family: Bacterial small subunit ribosomal RNA
Source: RNAcentral
AAUAUUGCACAAUGGGGGAAACCCUGAUGCAGCCAUGCCGCGUGUGUGAAGAAGGCCUUCGGGGUUGUAAAGCACUUUCAGUAGGGAGGAAGGUAGUGUAGUUAACACCUGCAUUAUUUGACGUUACCUACAGAAGAAGCACCGGCUAACUCCGUGCCAGCAGCCGCGGUAAUACGGAGGGUGCGAGCGUUAAUCGGAAUUACUGGGCGUAAAGCGCAUGCAGGCGGCCUGUUAAGUCAGAUGUGAAAGCCCGGGGCUUAACCUCGGAAUUGCAUUUGAAACUGGCAGGCUAGAGUCUUGUAGAGGGGGGUAGGAAUUUCAGGUGUAGCGGUGAAAUGCGUAGAGAUCUGAAGGAAUACCAGUGGCGAAGGCGGCCCCCUGGACAAAGACUGACGCUCAGAUGCGAAAGCGUGGGGAGCAAACAGGAUUAGAUACCCUGGUAG